RNAcentral lists this ribosomal RNA (253 nucleotides) under uncultured bacterium. RNAcentral's name for it is "partial 16S ribosomal RNA". It matches the Rfam family "Bacterial small subunit ribosomal RNA", at positions 524 to 776 of the family's 1533-position model. The record is from RNAcentral.
UACGGAGGAUGCAAGCGUUAUCCGGAAUUAUUGGGCGUAAAGCGUCCGCAGGUGGUUUUGUAAGUCUGCUGUUAAAGCGUUAGGCUCAACCUAAUAAGGGCAGUGGAAACUAUGAGACUAGAGUAUGUUAGGGGUAGAGGGAAUUCCCAGUGUAGCGGUGAAAUGCGUAGAGAUUGGGAAGAACACCGGUGGCGAAAGCGCUCUGCUAGGACAAUACUGACACUGAGGGACGAAAGCUAGGGGAGCGAAUGGG